UGAGCCUUCCAAGCCGGCGCGAGCUUUACUAACUGGUUGCCAAACCCGAUCUAAGCCUUUCUAUUUCUGACGCCAGCGAGAGGAGGGGGAGACCGAGCCUUAUGGGGAAAAGGAAGCCUCCAAUGGGAGGCCGCUUACACGACAACACCCCUCCAGUGCAGCCCUCCGCCCGGCCCGCUCAUUGGCUGCCGCGCUGGGGUGGCUUCUGGGGAUAGGAAGCCAGUGGCUGGAAGCCUCGCGGUGGGAAAGGAGGAGAGCGCGGGCCGAGGAGGCGCCGGGAGCUCCGCCCGCCAGACGGAGCACACAAGUGGCUGCCUUGUGUUGGUGUCUCCCGAACUGAGGCACUGCUUACCUUUUUUGUGAUUUUAAAAAACACACAUACCCUGCUGCCAUGUUCCGAGCAGAGGGGAGAUUUUCAGGAUGCCAUGUGGUGGCAUAAGGGUAACCUUUCACAUUAAUGCUCUCCAUGUAGUUCAACUACAGCAAGGACUGGAGCCCUGUUGUGCAAACUCUACACUGUAGAGCAUGUAACAUGAUUAAUCCUGAUCUGAGUUUUUCAAGCCUUUUUGGACAAUCUGGUCUUCAACCCCUCUGCUUGAGGGAGAGCAGGCUGUGGAUGCCAAUACUUCCAUAUUGCUACUUGUGAAAGCACAAAAAACCUUUGCAGCCCUGGGUGGUUCAUGGCACAAUAAUCUGGAAAAUUUGGGAAUUCGAGAGGGGAGGAGUGCAGCAUCCUUUGAACUCAAGGUGGAAAAAAAAGUGAGGCUCUGCUGGUACUACAGAGAGAUGUCCCCUGUAAGAAGUUUCUUUGAGUUGUAAAACAAUAAAUCCAUCAUGGUCCAAACAGA
Molecule: long non-coding RNA, 848 nt
Organism: Hemicordylus capensis (graceful crag lizard)
Lineage: Eukaryota; Metazoa; Chordata; Lepidosauria; Squamata; Cordylidae
Exons: 2
Source: RefSeq, a predicted model, not a curated record